CGAUGUUUAACAACUCUCAUACCUUUACCCUCUCUCACAGAUUGAUCUAGCUAUCGAUCCCCCAUCGAUGCCUUCGGUGGCAACGCCUUCUUCUUCUACCCUUUGUUGCCUUUCCUCUCUCCCCCUAGUGACCGAUCCCUUGAGUUGUCCCCAGAACUCAUCGAUGGCUUCAGCGGUCGAUCUCUGGUUCAGGAUUUGAAGACUCGGUGGUUGUUCCUCUUCGUUUCCUCCAAUUUCAGUUCUAACAAACCUCGUCGGCGUCGGAGCGUACACCGAGUUUAUCCCGGCUCUGGUGUGUUCUCCUUAGCGGUUGGCUACAUAUGUAUCUUUAAAAUCACAUUAGUUGUUAUGUAUGAUCCUUCCACAAUCAUAGCAUAAAGAAGAAGGAAGCUUCUCAAACUUGUAAUUCACCCACUCAGCUUCUACAUCAUCACUUGCGCAGAAGCCACAAGGAAGAGGUGCAUCGAGUUUGGUUGAAACCCUAGCGCGGAUGAAUCUACCCCACAAAGUUGGGUCAAAUCCAUUCUCAUCGAUGUGAAUCAACGCUGGUAAUUGAGCUUCAAGGAUGGCCGAUAGAUCGGCUUUAGUUUUCCACUCUUGUGGUAAGUCGUGGACUUGGAUCCACAUGUCACAAUGGGAAACUCUAUUUGACGCCUCCCACUUUUUCAGCACCAGGAGAGAAUCCGAAAGUUUCCAUGGUCGCCCAUUACAUGCUUUCUCCAGGUCUCUUUUGUUCUGGAAAGUAAGGAUGAAGGUGUUGCAUGCAACAUCACUCACCCUGAGGCCUUCGCACUCCAACCAAGCUGUGUCAAGGAUGCUCUUCAUGGGUCCGGCGUAAAUGCGUCGGGAGGUGAUCAUUUUCCAGGCAAGCAGUUGGAGUCCUCCCGAUCCUGAAAUCUUCGAUUUGUGCUUCACCAAUGGUUCUUCGCAGCUCCGCUCUUUGGUCUUCCUCACAAGCUCAGACAAAUCCAUGGUGUGACAGAUUGAGGUUUGCAAGCAGGUAAGUGUGUUGUUUUUUUUUCGGUUUCUGGUAUUAGGAUUAAGCCUAGGAGGAGUUUUUGUCUAUAUAUUCUGCUCCAUUUCCUUUGGUCAUUUAUUAUCCUCAAUCUACUCUCUGAACUUGGUAUUAAGGUGUAUCCACUUUGUGUGAUUUGCCAUAUGCCUAGAGCCCCUCCCAGACACCCUUUAGUCACCUGUUUUUUCGUAGGGAAAGAGCUGUGGAGCCUGAGAUUACUCUGUUUCAAUUUAAUAUCCUUGGAUGUGAAGUAGCUUGGGUGAUUUCUGGUGUAGUUGGCUUUAUAAAUGCUCCCAGGAACUUCUUUCAUACGACAUUUAAUUCGUUUUAGGACAGGUGCUCCCUCUUUUCUAAAUGUUUUUCCAUUAGUGUUCUCUUUAAUGCUUCCUUGUUCUGGGUUAUUCACCAAAUAAAAAUACUUGCUUUUAUGGUUGAUGUAGCUGCAUUUGUUGAGUAUAUUUAUUUUAUUGGCACUCAGGGCCUGGAGACAUCCUUGAAGGAUCAGAGGAGGGUCAUUACGAUACAAUCCAUGACGGACCGAAGAGAAAGAUCCAUUGCGGAUCGGAUCUGAUUCAAAAAGAAUCCUAGCGAAGCAUGAAGCUUCAAAGAGUUGAGAGCACAUAAACGGCUCUUUUUUGGAAAAACUCGUUCCUAAAAGGAAUGUUAUGGUGCAUGCGGUCGCAAGAAAGUUACAGGAUGGACACCAAUCCUUUGAAUUUUAAAUAGCAAUGAAAUCAUGCCCUAAUUGUCAAUUUAGUUAGAAAAAAAGUAUAUUUAUAUUGGCAAGCAUGAUGAGGUGUGGUCUAGUGCUUAAAAAUAUUUAUAUUGUAGAUUGAUCGUAUACGAAUCGAUUAACGAAGACGAUAAAAAUAUUGUUGGUACAAGUGUGAGAACUUAAAGCUAUGUGAUACUGUUAUUCGUGUGUGAGAUUGAGAUAUGAUCAUGAGUUGGCUUCGAUGUCGGUUCAUAUCUUACUAAUGACAACAUUGCUGUUUUUUAUUCAUACGUGUGAGGUUGUGAUACACAAAGUUAGAAAAAUACAACUGA
This 2062-nucleotide long non-coding RNA is filed under the name Linum usitatissimum (flax). RNAcentral describes it as "long non-coding RNA (LUSI_LNC003047)". The record is from RNAcentral. Lineage: Eukaryota; Viridiplantae; Streptophyta; Magnoliopsida; Malpighiales; Linaceae.